Cavia porcellus (domestic guinea pig) is the source of this 5887-nucleotide long non-coding RNA. RefSeq lists it as uncharacterized. Lineage: Eukaryota; Metazoa; Chordata; Mammalia; Rodentia; Caviidae. The transcript is spliced from 2 exons. The record is from RefSeq and is a predicted model, not a curated record.
UUCUUGUGACCAUCGAAGCCGAGCUGCAGGCCCUUGGGGAGGGACUGUGUGGGAACUGCUCCAGGUGACUCAUCUGCCCUCCUCCAGCUCCUGGGUGCUGCUCCUCCUCUGUGGGGUGGGAGCCACUGCUGCUCCCCGUGGGUGGCCGCAUCUGCUCCCUCCGCCAAGGCCUCUCCUGGAAGCCCCUGGCGACUGUGCACAGGGCCCAGACUACAACCCCGAGGUCUGCAGCACAGGGUGCUCAAGGUUCCCAGGGGCUGCCUUACCGCAGGCACAGGCUACAGCAGAGCCUCAGAGGUAGCAAGACACUGGUGUGGAUCUUAGGACAGAGUACUGGCUGAGUUCUGAUUUCCAGUCCCAAGAGGCUGUUCCGGCCCGCCGGGGCUUCAGGUUUUGGCCCAUCUGGAGCUGGCUCAUGGGCACUCCGUCUUGGCCUCCAGACCCCGCUCCCUGUGCCCUAGUGACUCAGAGAGCCCAGGGAUUAAGUCCAGCCGCCGAGCAAACAGAUCCGUGCCUGCCGAUCUGAGCUGCUCUUCAAUAACAGGGAGUGGCCCUCAUUUGCAUUGACUGCUGAGAACUUCCUGAAGACAGGUCCCCAAGCCCCUGGGGGCCAGCACCUGCAGGCCAGGCCGGAGUGGAGGCGGAGGGACGAGGCCCUUUGCAGAGGACAGCUGGGUCACAGAGCUGGAGAGAGGGUCCUUGGAUUGUGUCAGGCGCAGAUGCGGAUCUGGUGGCCUCUGGGCAUCCAUAGGGAAGGCUGCAACUUCCACGGAGCUGAUGCGCGCCUCACAGAGCCCAGAAUGUGGCUGCAGUUCCCUCGGACCAACCUCUGCUGCUGACACCAGCGUCAUGAGGGCUGAUCUGGAGACACCCUCAGCAUCAUCCCUGGGACAGAGGACCAUCAGGAGCCUGACAAUCAGCUUCACACACAUCUAAUCGCCCCUGGGGGACCCAAGAGUGAGCCCACGUCCAGCUGAAUGAGGAAACAAGCAAGCUGAGCCACAUCAGAGUGCCAGAGGUCUGGCCUCGGGGCACUGCACAUCUGUCCACACACAGCUGGCACGGCCAGGCGAGAACACACUGGUCACCCUCUGUUCCAGGCCUGGGAUGCACCCCCACUGGCCUCUUCCUGUGGGGGCUUGGACAGCUCCCCACCCCUGACAGGGACCCAAUUGGAAACAGCGCUGGUGUCUCUCACCCGGCGAUUCCAGGUACUCGCUUUCUGCAGGCAGGGCUUCUCUCCGGCCCCCAGGUGCAGGUCUCGUGCUCAAGGUGCAGUGUCACGAGGUGGGGUGCGUGCUCUGUCCUUGAAUCCUGACCCUACUCACCUCAGGCCAGGUGUGACCCUCUCACCCAUGGUGCCCAGCUGUGGGCAGGUGAAAGGCUGCACUUGGGCGAGGCCAGCCUGCCCAGGGAAAGCAGGGUGGGAUUCCCAGGACGCAGUGCUGGUUUCUGACCUCCUUAUGGACAAGCAUCCCCGGUGAGCUGUGUCCUCACUUAUGCUAUAGGCUGAAUUGUGUCCCUAGCACAUUAACCCCCAGGACUUCAGACUGGCUGUAUAUUGGGGCCAGGGCCUCAGAACAGUGAUUAGGGUUAAAUGAGAUCAUUGGGCUGGGCCUUAAUCUACUCUGACUGGUGUCCUUAUGAGAAGAGGAGAUUAGGACACAGAGGGAGGCCUGCAUGGGGACAGAGGUGAACACAGUGUCCACAAGCCCAGGGGAGAAUUCAGGAGGAGCCGGCCCUGCUGACGCCUGCCUCGGUGCAUGCAGCCUCCAGCUCUUGAAGACACAAAGUGUCCUCUGCCUGUGGCAUUCUGUGAUGUGGCCUGAGACACCCAGCAAGGAAUCCCUGAGAUCACAGCUACCCAUUUUUCCAAAGAAAUUUUCUCUCCAGAUCUCAGGCAAUGGUCUCUAUAGAAACCUCAGUGAAGAAACUGCAUCCAGACCCAUCCCGCCUGGCUGAGUUAAGAGGCGGGGGCACUCAUCCUGCUUCAGUUGGACAGGUCCAGCCCAGGAUUCGGGAAGAGCAACUGCUCCCUACAGGGCCAGUCCUCAGGUACCUGCUGAAGCUCCCUGUGUGGGGUGACAGUCCAGACAGUGGGACAACCAGGCCUGUCCUGCAAGAGCCCUGCGGGAGACCAUGGGGUGGGUCAUUGCUUCUUCCAGGCCUUGGCUCUUUAGCAGGCAGGAGCUGCCCUCCCAUCCCAUAGUGGCCUGGGUGAUAUUUCCUGAAGACUCAAGAGUGGCUGGGAGUGGGAUUGCAGCUGCCAGGACCAUGACAGACUGCUUGCCUCCGUGUACCUCCUGGGGCUGGGCCUCGGGGCUGGCUUCCAAUGAGCCUGUGGAUCUGGUGGCCAGGCUAGCAGGAAAGGGGGUCUUCCUAUCCCAGGCCGCUGCCUGCCAGGUGUCCAUGGUGACAGGAAGCUGCAGUGGCAGUGGCAUUGGCUGCAGUGGGUCUUGUAGGUAAGCAGGGGGUGUGGGCUGCAGCCCUCCUCUGAGGGGAACUGGAGGCAGGGUAGGCCACCCCCUUUCUCUGCAGGGCCUCAUGGACACCCUAAAUUCUUGCAACUUCCUCCCACCAGGGCAUCCCACACGAGAAGAAUUCUGUCCCUCGGUGACUUCAUCCUCUGCCUUAGGGGAUAGUUGGGUGUGAUUGGUCCAAGGCUUCCCGGAGGCUGGCCAAGAAGGUGCCAAGCAAAGAAUCCUUUCUUUGGGCCUGGAAUAGAGGCCAGAACAUCCUGGCAAGCCUUCUGCCAGGACCGAGUCAGCUUCUGCUUUGAAUCCGGGGUGGCCCUUCCCCUCCCUGUCCUGGGCUGGAUUGGGCAAGGAGAUAAGCUAUGCUGGCAGCCAGCCUGGCAAAGCUCUGUCACUGUUGUGCAAACAUGAACCUCCUUACGCACUGUCUGCCAACCUCGUGUUAUCUAAUUCACAAACAGAGCUUACCCACCCUCAUCCCCAGAUCAGCCACAACAAAGUGUCCCCAGGGAAGCCACCUGCCAAGGGGAGCACAGCCAGCAUGGAUGUCAGCUGGAACAGAAACCCCAGUGAGCUGGCCUGGGGCCUGCCAACUCCCCGAAAUACCCACACAUUGAGCAGCAUGACACGCCCAGGAGGAGGCAGGGUGGGAUGCAGGGCGGGGACACUGGCCGUGUGUCUGGGAUCUGACAGGGGUCUCUAUAGAAGAGAUAGAAGACACUGACAGAUCCCUGCCAGUCUCCUGCCCCUGGUGGUCGGCAUCUCCGGCUGAGGACACCGAGUGGUUUGUGUGCUCCUGUACCUGUGGCCAGCGAGUGCCGAGCCAGGUCAUAGAGAGGGAUGCCUGGAUUGGAAGCUGCCAGAGUUGCUGGAGCCUCUGUCUGCUCAGACCCCUGUGGGGAUGAGGGGACAGCAUGGGAAGGCAGCCCUGGCUCUUCAUGGUGGGCUGUGGGGACUGCCUGUCUCCCCUCUGUAGCUCCUGACAGAUCUCUUGCUGUGUGACAGUCACCUGCUGUGUUAACACAGUUUGCCCAGUCUCGUCCUACCUCUGCUCCUGCAUUGGGAACUGUUAUCACAGAGGGUGCACCCAUCCACAGUCAGCAGCAGUGCAGGAGAAGGUAGGAUUUGAACCUGGACCUCGGCCUGCAGGUCCGAUGCCUCAAAGCUCCUGCUCCCCUAAUGGAGCCUCUAGCGCCAGCUGCAAACACUGCAGAACUGCCUGACUUUGCAUCCCGUGCACCUCUGUGAGUCAAGGCUCGAGAUCUGAGCCUUCAUUCAUGCAUUUGUUCAUUUCUUCAUCCAACACAGAAGUGCCAUGUGCAUCGGCACCAAGGGCACAGAGGGGAUGAAAAUGAACCAGUGCAGACAGCUGUCCAAGCUCAAGCUGGCAUGGUCCAGAAAGGCGUGUGUAUGUGUGUGUGUGUGUGUGUGUGUGUGUGUGCGCGCGCGCACCUACAGUAGCCGCGGGGAUGAGAUGGGCGAGGGCUGGGGCUACGGCAGCCUGAUGAGGAGCCCCUGAGAUCUUGGGGACAGACUCCACAGGGAACCCUUGGAAGUUGAAAGCCAAGCACUGCAAUUCCCAUGGGAAGGAGAAGGUGCAAGUGCAGGGAAGGACUCAGCGCAUUUUCUGGAGGUUGGCAGGAGAAUUUCAGAUUUGUUGAUUUUGCGUGACUCCUGCCCCUCCACACAGACCACCAUGCUGAUCUUCAAACCUUGGCCUUGGCCAGAGAAUAUAUAGACUUGGAGACGUGUGAACCAAAGACAGUGCUGCCUGUGCGGCCUUCGGGCUCCGAAGCGCAUUACUAUGGUGCUUUUGCUUAGGGGUUGGGCUGUCGGAAAAGACAACUUCUGUAUACCAAGAAGACUAAAGCAAAGCUAGUGGUUGAGUGUGGUGGCACAUGCGUGUGGUCCCGGCUAUCUGGGGGGCUGAGGGCAGGAGGAUCACUUGAGCCCCUGAAUCUGAGUCCACCCUAAGCAAAUGUAGCACUCAAAAAAAAAAAAAAAAAAAAGACAAAAACAGCAAUCAAAAGGCCAGCACAUUCUUCAUUCUAGCUAACGGAAGUUUCUUUUCAAAUUAGUCCUAGGUAUUUUUUACGAAAUGUGUAGAAUUCAUAUCCAUUAGAUCCCCAAAUUCUAAAACUUCUUGUGUAUUAAUAUCGGGUAGAGUGAAGCACUUUUAUGCUUAUUUGGAGAUUUGAUAGACUUUGCAGAAGAAAACGGAUUUCAUUUGAGUGUGAAAACUGUGACAGUUGUGGAAAUGUGUGCCUUUAAGGCUGCUGAAGGCGAACUUGCAUGUUACCAAGAAAAUUAGUGUUUGCACCGAGCGCAGUGUGUUUGACAGAAAAUUCAGGUGAGUGGUUUCACCACACCAAGCAAGAACAACAGAAACAAGAGUUUCCAAGCAGGGUGUCUGUCUGCAUCGGUGUCCUGUCCAGUGACGCCAGCAAAGUACUCACUGACUGGAAAGUAAUUAUAUGCAGGUAGGAUGAGAAGAUAUUCGUGCAAGAAGCUUGAGCACAAGAGUUGCUGUUUGAGCCAAGUGUGUGUUCUGAGCGUGGGUGGACGGGACUCUCAGAAGAGCAUAGCAUCCUGGAGGGAAAAGCUGGAAGCCUAACAGGACUCAGGUCGGCACUUCUCAGCUCACAGAAGAAUUUGAAAAGAGCAGCAGAAGGGGGUGAUUUACCAGGAAAAGGCAGCUUCACAGUGGCGUGAGGCUUCCAUGAGUGCUCUGCAGGGUGAAAGUCGGCUGGCUGGCUCUUAACAGUUUCAUCCAUUGAAUUUUCUUUCUAGCUUUCUAAAGUUUUUUUUUUUUCCUUUUUUUUAGUGCAGCCUGUUCCACAAGCCGUGCAUUAGUUAUGUGUGUGUGUCUGUAUGUGUGUGCCACGUAUUUCAUCUUUGCCUCAUUCCCAGCCUAGGAGGCAGACUUUGUCAAGACUUUUGGAGAGAGCUGGUUUGAUUUAUGCAGGGUUUGCAAACGUGGCUCCUUGAAUGUGCAUCAUGGCAAUGGUGAUUUAAGGACCGGAUGCAUGGAAAAAUCUUGAAACUGGUUCAGUAAAUGAAGAGAUGUCUUUUAGGGUAGCUCAGGCUGGCCUCAAACUUGCAGUGAUCCUCCCGCUUCAGCCUCCCAGGUGCUGGGAUUAUUGGUGUGUACCACUAGGGAUGUCUUUGAUUACACAACAGGGGACAUGCUGGGCCACAGUGAUGUUUAUAUGUUCCACUUUAGAACUCUUUCUUCAUUGAUAUGGUUCAUUUGCUCAUGUCACUAGAAUGCCUGAGGGUAUGUGCUUGCAAAAAAUAGGUGGCUUUUAUUAGGUAAAGUGACCCAUGAGGUGUCAUAUGAAGUUUUUAUGUUCCUCAAACAAAUUUCCUUCUAAUAUAUAUAUAUAAUACAUAUGUCUAAGUAAUUUUUUAUA